RNAcentral lists this long non-coding RNA (225 nucleotides) under Elaeis guineensis (African oil palm). RNAcentral's name for it is "long non-coding RNA (EGUI_LNC032104)". Lineage: Eukaryota; Viridiplantae; Streptophyta; Magnoliopsida; Arecales; Arecaceae. The record is from RNAcentral.
GAUUACAGCUUCCCGAGCUAUAGGAUUUGUUGGUUUUGGCACCUCAAAUUUGAUCUACUACAGUAAAGAUCAAAUGCGGAGAAGCCCAGCAUGUAGUGCACGACAAAGAAGGUCCGGCCCGCAGGUGUGCAAGCCUGCAGGCGCUGCCCACUGGCAUGCAAGGCCGACAGGCAUGUAGGCCUGCAGUAGUGUAUGCAAUCCAGCACGGGACAUGUGGCCCAGGCA